AGAGUUUGAUCCUGGCUCAGAUUGAACGCUGGCGGCAUGCCUUACACAUGCAAGUCGAACGGCAGCGGGGACUUCGGUCCGCCGGCGAGUGGCGAACGGGUGAGUAAUAUAUCGGAACGUACCUUUCAGUGGGGGAUAACGUAGCGAAAGUUACGCUAAUACCGCAUAUUCUGUGAGCAGGAAAGCAGGGGAUCGCAAGACCUUGCGCUGAUUGAGCGGCCGAUAUCAGAUUAGCUAGUUGGUGGGGUAAAGGCCUACCAAGGCGACGAUCUGUAGCGGGUCUGAAAGGAUGAUCCGCCACACUGGAACUGAGACACGGUCCAGACUCCUACGGGAGGCAGCAGUGGGGAAUUUUGGACAAUGGGGGCAACCCUGAUCCAGCCAUGCCGCGUGAGUGAAGAAGGCCUUCGGGUUGUAAAGCUCUUUCGGCCGGGAAGAAAUCGCAUAGGUUAAUACCCUGUGUGGAUGACGGUACCGGAAUAAGAAGCACCGGCUAACUACGUGCCAGCAGCCGCGGUAAUACGUAGGGUGCGAGCGUUAAUCGGAAUUACUGGGCGUAAAGCGUGCGCAGGCGGUUUCGUAAGACAGAGGUGAAAUCCCCGGGCUCAACCUGGGAACUGCCUUUGUGACUGCGAAGCUAGAGUACGGCAGAGGGGGGUGGAAUUCCACGUGUAGCGGUGAAAUGCGUAGA
This 691-nucleotide ribosomal RNA is filed under the name uncultured bacterium. RNAcentral's name for it is "bacterial SSU rRNA". It matches the Rfam family "Bacterial small subunit ribosomal RNA", at positions 8 to 694 of the family's 1533-position model. The record is from RNAcentral.